Molecule: ribosomal RNA, 2439 nt
Filed under: Triticum aestivum (bread wheat)
Lineage: Eukaryota; Viridiplantae; Streptophyta; Magnoliopsida; Poales; Poaceae
Description: partial small subunit ribosomal RNA
Source: RNAcentral
AAACACAAACUUUUUGCCAAAAAGGUGGCUCCAUCUUCCCCAGAAAAAAUAUCCUUGACCAAUGAGUCUAAAAGCACACGGAAGGCCCUUGCUGGCAUCUAUGACGAAGUUUUGGUUGUUGACAAUAUCGACUCAGCCGAGAAUGUUGUUCGAUUGCUUACUACAAAGUACAAAAGCUUUGUUCAUGCAUGCGGCACAGAGGUAGCAAAUAUUGAUGUCAAAAAAGAGACACCGGUUGAUCAUGGAGAAGUUAUAUGCUUUAGCAUCUAUUCAGGAAAUUUGGAUGCACAUGCCGAUUUUGGAAAUGGCAAAACAUGCAUUUGGGUGGAUGUGCUAGACGGUGGGAGGGAUGUCUUGAUGGCGUUUGCUCCAUUCUUCGAGGACAUGUCUAUCAAGAAGGUUUGUCAUAACUAUAGUUUUGAUAGUCAUGUCAUUGAGAACUAUGGAAUCAAGGUGACUGGGUUUCAUGCUGAUACAAUGCAUCUUGCACGCCUUUGGGAUUCUAACAGGAGAACCGAUGGUGGAUAUUCACUCGAAGGACUUACAAAUGAUCCGAGAGUCAUGAGUGAUGUUGGAAAGGAUUUAAUUAAAACUGGAAAGGUAUCAAUGAAAACAAUCUUUGGUACAAAAAAGAUUAGAAAAGACGGAGGUGAAGGGAAAGUUGUAUAUAUUGAACCAGUAGAAAAGCUGCAAAGGGAAGACAGAAAGAUGUGGAUUUGCUAUUCAUCAUUGGAUUCAGUGAAUACACUGAAGCUUUAUGAAAGCCUGAAAAGCAAGCUUGAAGCAAAAGAAUGGAUUUUCGAUGGUUGUCCUAGAGGAACAAUGUACGAUUUCUAUGAAGAGUAUUGGCGUCCCUUUGGUUCCCUUCUUGUGAAGAUGGAAACAGAGGGAAUGCUUGUUGAUCGUGCUUACCUCUCAGAGAUCGAGAAAACUGCUGUUGCUGAACGGAAAUUGGCUGCAGAUAAGUUCAGGCAAUGGGCAUCUGAAUAUUCUCCAGAUGCCAAGUACAUGAAUGUGAAUAGUGAUAUACAACUUCGCCAGCUUUUCUUUGCUGGCAUUGAGAACAGGCAUAAACAUGGUGAGACCUGGCCACAAAGUAAAAUGUUUAAAGUGCGAAAUGAUGAAAACAUAGCUCCAGAGGGCCAGAAGGCUUCAAAGUUCCGCACAAUCGAACUUUCUGGUAUUGUGGAAGAUCUGAAAAUUGAUAUGUUCGCCCCAAAUGGGUGGCCUUCAGUCAGCAUUGAUGCAUUGAAAAUAUUGUCUGGUAAGAUACCCAUGGAUCAAAUUUACACAAUAGAAGACGACCAAGAGCGAGAUGAAUAUAGCAACGGUUCAGAACUUCCCGAGCAGGAUAUAGAAGCAGCAUCAUCAUAUGGAACUGCAUAUGAACCGUUUGGUGGAGGAAAGAAGGGAACAGAAGCAUGCCAUGCCAUUGCGGCUCUGUGUGAAAGGUCCUCUAUUGACAAGUUGAUAUCCAGCUUCAUUCUUCCCCUGCAGGGAGAUAAUAUAUCAUGCAAGGAAGGGCGCAUUCACUGCUCGCUAAAUAUCAACACUGAGACAGGGCGCUUAUCAGCACGAAUACCAAAUUUGCAGAAUCAACCUGCACUUGAAAAGGAUCGAUAUAAGAUCCGCCAAGCGUUUUUUGCAGCUCCAGGGAACUCUCUUGUUGUUGCUGAUUAUGGCCAGCUGGAGCUGAGGAUCUUAGCCCAUCUUACUAGUUGUAAAAGCAUGCUGGAUGCUUUCAAGGCUGGUGGUGACUUUCAUUCUAGAACAGCCAUGAAUAUGUACGAGCAUGUGCGUGAUGCUGUUCACGAAAAAAAAGUACUUCUUGAAUGGCAACCUCAACCAGGUCAAGAGAAGCCUCCAGUGCCAUUGUUGAAGGAUGCUUUUGGUGCUGAGAGAAGGAAGGCUAAAAUGCUUAAUUUCUCUAUUGCAUAUGGAAAGACAGCUCAGGGACUAUCCCGUGAUUGGCAGGUGUCUGUCAAGGAGGCAAGGGAUACACUCAAACUCUGGUACAGAGAUCGAAAAGAAGUUUCAGCUUGGCAAAAGAGGCAGAAAGAGCUUGCUCGUGAAAAAUGCGAAGUAUACACAUUGCUAGGACGGUCACGCCGCUUUCCUAACAUGACUCACGCACCCCAUGGUCAAAAAGGUCAUGUUGAUCGUGCUGCUAUAAAUGCACCGGUGCAGGGCAGUGCAGCAGAUGUUGCCAUGUGUGCAAUGCUUGAGAUAGAAAGAAAUGCUCGCCUUAAGGAGCUUGGUUGGAGACUCCUAUUACAGGUGCACGACGAAGUGAUACUGGAGGGGCCUACAGAAUCUGCUGAAGCCGCCAGGGCCAUCGUGGUAGAGUGCAUGUCCAAACCCUUCUAUGGAACCAACAUCCUGAAGGUGGACCUGGCUGUUGACGGCAAGUGUGGAAAGAGUUGGUAUGACGCCAAGUAG